GGGUAGGUGGUGUAAAGGUAGCAUAAGUGUCUGUGGUACAAAAGGUCCGUGUUCGAUUCACGGCUUACCCA
This is a non-coding RNA of Tritrichomonas musculus, 71 nucleotides long. NCBI's taxonomy places the organism in Eukaryota, Parabasalia, Tritrichomonadida, Tritrichomonadidae. The record is from the annotation of a GenBank genome assembly.